This 465-nucleotide ribosomal RNA is filed under the name Vreelandella stevensii. RNAcentral describes it as "partial 16S ribosomal RNA". It matches the Rfam family "Bacterial small subunit ribosomal RNA", at positions 338 to 795 of the family's 1533-position model. Lineage: Bacteria; Pseudomonadati; Pseudomonadota; Gammaproteobacteria; Oceanospirillales; Halomonadaceae. The record is from RNAcentral.
CCUACGGGCGGCUGCAGUGGGGAAUAUUGGACAAUGGGGGCAACCCUGAUCCAGCGAUGCCGCGUGUGUGAAGAAGGCCCUCGGGUUGUAAAGCACUUUCAGUGAGGAAGAACGCCUGGUGGUUAAUACCCAUCAGGAAAGACAUCACUCACAGAAGAAGCACCGGCUAACUCCGUGCCAGCAGCCGCGGUAAUACGGAGGGUGCGAGCGUUAAUCGGAAUUACUGGGCGUAAAGCGCGCGUAGGUGGCUUGAUAAGCCGGUUGUGAAAGCCCCGGGCUCAACCUGGGAACGGCAUCCGGAACUGUCAAGCUAGAGUGCAGGAGAGGAAGGUAGAAUUCCCGGUGUAGCGGUGAAAUGCGUAGAGAUCGGGAGGAAUACCAGUGGCGAAGGCGGCCUUCUGGACUGACACUGACACUGAGGUGCGAAAGCGUGGGUAGCAAACAGGAUUAGAUACCCCUGUAGUC